Molecule: long non-coding RNA, 439 nt
Filed under: Sorghum bicolor (sorghum)
Lineage: Eukaryota; Viridiplantae; Streptophyta; Magnoliopsida; Poales; Poaceae
Description: long non-coding RNA (SBIC_LNC000500)
Source: RNAcentral
GCUGGGGAAUAAUCAUGCAGCAGCAGCAGCAACAGUAUGGAGCAGAGAGCAGCAUCUUCCGAUUGCCUAAUCAUGCAGCAGCAGCAGCAGUCUGUCGCCGAGAGCAUGAGCAGAAUAAUCAUGCAGCAGCAGCAGUAUGGAUAUGGCAGAAAGCAGCAUCUCCUGAUUGCCGAGAGCAGCAGCAGCAACAGUAUGGAGCAGAGAGCAGCAGCAGAACCAUGCAGCUCAUGAUUGCAGCAGUAGCAGAACCAAUCAGCAUCAGCAGAACUCACUCGCGGCCGGGAUAGCAAGUCACGCCGAGCGCGGAUAGAUCCGCGCGCGACCCCUCCGUUUUCCAACUUGCCAAACUUUAGCAAGUUCUAUUCCAAUCUGUUGGAGAAGGAUUUUUCUUCUUUUUCUAAAUAAACAAGGAUAGCAAGUCAUUUUUCCAAACAAUUGG